AUAGCCUACGGGGCGCAGCAGUGGGGGAUAUUGGACAAUGGGGGAAACCCUGAUCCAGCGACGCCGCGUGAGUGAAGAAGUAUUUCGGUAUGUAAAGCUCUGUCAGCAGGGAAGAAAGAAAUGACGGUACCUGACCAAGAAGCCCCGGCUAACUACGUGCCAGCAGCCGCGGUAAAACGUAGGGUGCAAGCGUUGUCCGGAAUUACUGGGUGUAAAGGGAGCGCAGGCGGAUUGACAAGUUGGGAGUGAAAACUACGGGCUCAACCCGUAACCUGCUUUCAAAACUGUCAGUCUUGAGUGGUGUA
RNAcentral lists this ribosomal RNA (305 nucleotides) under uncultured bacterium. Its description in RNAcentral is "bacterial SSU rRNA". It matches the Rfam family "Bacterial small subunit ribosomal RNA", at positions 333 to 653 of the family's 1533-position model. The record is from RNAcentral.